GCCUAACACAUGCAAGUCGAGCGCGAACGAUCCCUUCGGGGAUCUAGUAGAGCGGCGAACGGGUGAGUAACGCGUGGGUAACCUGCCCUUUGGUGGGGAAUAACUCCGGGAAACUGGGGCUAAUGCCGCAUGAGCUCCGAGUCCUCGCGGGGAUUCGGAGGAAAGCAUGCCUCUGCUUCAAGCAUGCGCCAGAGGAGGGGCCCGCGUCCCAUUAGCUUGUUGGUGGGGUAAUGGCCUACCAAGGCGACGAUGGGUAGCCGGCCUGAGAGGGUGUCCGGCCACACUGGGACUGAGACACGGCCCAGACUCCUACGGGAGGCAGCAGUGGGGAAUAUUGCGCAAUGGGCGAAAGCAUGACGCAGCGACGCCUCGUGGGGGAUGACGGUCUUCGGAU
Molecule: ribosomal RNA, 394 nt
Filed under: uncultured bacterium
Lineage: Bacteria
Description: bacterial SSU rRNA
Rfam family: Bacterial small subunit ribosomal RNA
Source: RNAcentral